UACGGAGGGUGCUAGCGUUGUUCGGAAUUACUGGGCGUAAAGCGCACGUAGGCGGCUUCGCAAGUCAGAGGUGAAAGCCCGGGGCUCAACCCCGGAACUGCCUUGGAGACUGCGUCACUCGAAUCCGGGAGAGGCGGGUGGAACUCCGUGUGUAGCGGUGAAAUUCGUAGAUAUACGGAAGAACACCAGUGGCGAAGGCGGCUCGCUGGACCGGCAUUGACGCUGAGGCGCGAAAGCGUGGGGAGCAAACAGG
Molecule: ribosomal RNA, 253 nt
Filed under: uncultured bacterium
Lineage: Bacteria
Description: partial 16S ribosomal RNA
Rfam family: Bacterial small subunit ribosomal RNA
Source: RNAcentral